This 158-nucleotide small nuclear RNA is filed under the name Homo sapiens (human). RNAcentral describes it as "partial E1c small nucleolar RNA". It matches the Rfam family "Small nucleolar RNA SNORA73 family", at positions 1 to 172 of the family's 219-position model. From Rfam's summary of the family: U17 (SNORA73A and SNORA73B) also known as E1 belongs to the H/ACA class of small nucleolar RNAs (snoRNAs). Vertebrate U17 is intron-encoded and ranges in length from 200-230 nucleotides, longer than most snoRNAs. Lineage: Eukaryota; Metazoa; Chordata; Mammalia; Primates; Hominidae. The record is from RNAcentral.
UCCAACGUGGAUACCCUGGGAGGUCACUCUCCCCAGGCUCUGUCCAAGUGGCAUAGGGGAGCUUAGGGCUCUGCCCCAUGAUGUACAGUCCCUUUCCACAACGUUGAAGAUGAAGCUGGGCCUCGUGUCUGCGCCUGCAUAUUCCUACAGCUUCCCAG